RNAcentral lists this ribosomal RNA (256 nucleotides) under uncultured Gardnerella sp. RNAcentral's name for it is "partial 16S ribosomal RNA". It matches the Rfam family "Bacterial small subunit ribosomal RNA", at positions 99 to 355 of the family's 1533-position model. The record is from RNAcentral. Lineage: Bacteria; Bacillati; Actinomycetota; Actinomycetes; Bifidobacteriales; Bifidobacteriaceae.
CGAACGGGUGAGUAAUGCGUGACCAACCUGCCCCAUGCUCCAGAAUAGCUCUUGGAAACGGGUGGUAAUGCUGGAUGCUCCAACUUGACGCAUGUAUUGUUGGGAAAGUGUUUAGUGGCAUGGGAUGGGGUCGCGUCCUAUCAGCUUGUAGGCGGGGUAAUGGCCCACCUAGGCUUCGACGGGUAGCCGGCCUGAGAGGGCGGACGGCCACAUUGGGACUGAGAUACGGCCCAGACUCCUACGGGAGGCAGCAGUC